GCUAGGAAGGUGGCUCAGUGGUAGAGCGCUUGCCUUGCAUGCAAGAGGCCCUGGGUUCGAUUCCCCAGCACCACAUAAGCA
Molecule: transfer RNA, 81 nt
Filed under: Dipodomys ordii (Ord's kangaroo rat)
Lineage: Eukaryota; Metazoa; Chordata; Mammalia; Rodentia; Heteromyidae
Description: tRNA-Ala (TGC) (tRNA-Ala-TGC-9-1)
Rfam family: tRNA (bases 9-73)
About the family: Transfer RNA (tRNA) molecules are approximately 80 nucleotides in length. Their secondary structure includes four short double-helical elements and three loops (D, anti-codon, and T loops).
Source: RNAcentral